Molecule: long non-coding RNA, 628 nt
Organism: Bradysia coprophila
Lineage: Eukaryota; Metazoa; Arthropoda; Insecta; Diptera; Sciaridae
Source: RefSeq, a predicted model, not a curated record
GUGACGAUGAUUGGGCAAUACUAGGGAUAUAAAACGGCCCUCUUAAAGGUACUGGAACUUUGUGCAUCUGGAUCUGAAUACUGCCUGGCUUAACGUUGAUGUGCGGUCAUCAAUACGUUUCAGAUGGAAAUUGGUGAUCUUGUGCUGCACUGGAUCUUGAGGUCUCGUGGCUCCUGAUAAUAUCCAGCCGAAUUCAGUGUUCUGAGCAACCGGAUACAUGGGUGACGAUUUAAUCAGUCCUGGUACAUUGAAUUCGGGGUCUGCUAAUUGCAAAUCCUUGAUGUGGUCCCAUUCAGCUUUCCGCAAGAUCGUUGACGGUAAUGGACUUGUGAUCUUUUUGGUUACUGGCGCUUGAGUUUACAUGCUGAACGAGUGGUUGCGCUUCGAUCCUGGCUCGAAUUCAACGAUAGACUUAAUGUUGCCUGUGGUAACACCUCCCAGACCACUAGUCGACGCAAUAACUGGUUGUUUCUGUAGCCCUAGAAACUGUACCACAUUUUCGCAAACGUAAGAUGCUGUACUAGCUUGAUCUAGAAGUGCCCGGAACGGAUAAAAGAGAUUGUCUCGUAAUGAUCGUAUCAGCACUAUUGCCGUUGCCAACAUAAUCGGUUCGUCCCACACAACACGA